Molecule: ribosomal RNA, 326 nt
Filed under: uncultured Neisseriaceae bacterium
Lineage: Bacteria; Pseudomonadati; Pseudomonadota; Betaproteobacteria; Neisseriales; Neisseriaceae
Description: bacterial SSU rRNA
Rfam family: Bacterial small subunit ribosomal RNA
Source: RNAcentral
UGCGUAGGCGGAUAUAUAAGUUAGAUGUGAAAAGCCAGGGCUUAACCUUGGUCGUGCAUUUAAGACUGUAUGUCUAGAGUUUGUAAGAGGGGGGUAGAAUUCCAAGUGUAGCAGUGAAAUGCGUAGAGAUUUGGAGGAAUACCGAUGGCGAAGGCAGCCCCCUGGUAUAGAACUGACGCUGAGGCACGAAAGCGUGGGUAGCAAACAGGAUUAGAUACCCUGGUAGUCCACGCCCUAAACGAUGUUUACUUGCUGUUGGGAGCAAUCUUAGUAGCGAAGCUAACGCGAGAAGUAAACCGCCUGGGGAGUACGGUCGCAAGAUUAAA